CCACCCCCAGUCAUAUCUAAACGGCUGGACUCCAUAUCUUUUGAUCGACUUCUCAUAUCAAGUUGUCCACCCAUCUCUGACGAUAGCUUUCCAAAAAAUUAAAUAUUCAUUGCUAUCUUUUAAACUGUUUCAUUUCCUCUCGAGACUUCUCUUGUCUGGCCAUCUUGCCCAUCACCCUUCUGGCUCCAUGUCUUGUCGGUUUGAGUCUUCUUGCACUAGGUAAGAGAUUACUUCACUUUCUAAUGCUUCCUUUGCAACUUUGUGGGCAUACAUGUUUUCUCUUCUAUGUAUAUGUUUAAAGUCUAUUUUUUGAAAAUGGACACUCAAAUUCUGAAUAUAUCGUAUAAUCGCUCCUAUAGUGAAUCUGUCUUUUACUUUUGUUUGGCAUUUCCGGAUUACUAUUCUUGAAUCUCCUUUAAUUUGAAUUUCCUAAAAACCCAAUGAGAUUCCUAACUUUAUGGCUUCCAAUCCUACAAACGCUUAUGUCGCAAACGGAGAUGAAACAUUGUUGUGGAGGACUGUCUUCGAGGCUAGAAAUUCAUCCCUAUAUCCCCAAAGCACCACCCCUGACGCAGAUCUGAAGGUUCUCUUGUCAAACGCAGCAUCAAAAUGCAUGUUUACCUUUGGUAAAGUUUCUGGACAUCUGUGUAUUCUGGCCAAGUCUAGAAGAUUCUGUUUUAUCCUUAUUUCAUCUUGUUCCGUCUUUAAACUCAGUAUUUUUUGAGCAAGAUUUCCUCAUGAAAUAGAUAUUCUCUUAUGAACAAGCUGGUUCCUGGAAUACCAGAUUUGCCAUAAUACAUAGCAGAAGACCUGACACUGAUCCUCAGAUCCUUGCAUGAAUUAUAACACCCUAUACCCGUAACCCACACUGACUCGGAGUACGAAGCAUUGCCUAACUUUAUCUUAUGCAUACAACAGUCUCAAGUCAUCGAAACUUGGUCCAAAUUAAAACUUUUUCAAUUUCUACUUUAAACUUCUUAUUAUGGGCCUACAAGCCCUAAAUCGAUCAUUAAAAACUAUUUAGAAACUUUCCGAGUCCUUAAACCAGCCUUAAGAAAUUUGCCUUUAAAACAGGAGACACACCGGUGUGGAAGGGUAACAUGCCCGUGUGACCAUUUCGACAUGGUUGUGCUGAUGGUCUGUGUGGCUCACAUAGCCUAAGCACCCUGGGACACGUCUGUGUCCUAUACCCGUGUGGAAUUAAAUUCUAAUUCACAACUACAGGGGUUUUCACACAGCCAGACACACGCCAGUGCCAAUGUCCCGUGUCCCUCAGAGGGCCAGGACAUGCCCGUGUCUUAACCUGUGUACAAAAACCUGGGUGUUCUGUUUCUGACGUCAACAUCGCUAAAUUGUCACAUGGCCAAGGCACACCCCCGUGUACUAGGCCAUGUCCUCCACACGGCUGAGACACACGGUCAUGUUUCUAACCGUGUGUUUAUUAUCAUGUAUACUAACUUGAAAUUUUUACGUGCAGGGGACACACAGCCGAACUACAUGCCCAUGGGGCAAACCGUGUGUCACACACGGCCUAGACACACGUCCGUAUGUCUACCCGUGUGGACAAUAUAAGGCUAUUUGCCAAGCCUUAUUGCCACUCUUAUAUACCUAGUUCCAUGUAAAUUCUAACCAAUACCAAGACAAACACAAUUUCUAUAAUCAAACAACCACAACAGACAUUCAUUUAACCAUGACAAUAUAUCUUUUUAAAUCAAAAUGAGUGUUAGCCAUCAUUCAAGGCUUGACACAAAAUGAAGGGUUCCCAACCCAAGUCAUUACCAUUGGCCAAUUCUCAAAGGCACAACACAAUAAAGUCUAAGCCCUAUACAUGCCAUAUUCAAAAAUAUAAAUCCAACAAUACCGAUUGCUUCGGCUAAUAGUGUGAUCGAUAUCUCUGACUUUUGGUGAUCCUUGAGCUAGAUAGGCGGCACUGUAAGGAAAUGGAAAGGAAGAGGUGUAAGCAUAAAGCUUAGUAAGUUGCACAUAAAUAGAUAUACAACAAUAAGUCAACCGUUUAUCAACAACUGAUGAUACCAAAGUGGGCAUAAGCACGACUUACUCUUCACUUUAUACAAAUCACAUAGCAUAUACAAUAAGUUCACAUCUUAUACAUAUGUAACACUUAGGUACCUGUAAUACUCACAAUACGGUUAUACUUUCCUGAUUAACUUAAAUUUAUAACUCUUGCCAUUGAAUCAUUCGGAACACUAUCAGAUAUUUCAUAAGCCUCAACCAUGGGUAAGGUACUGAUGCCUACACUGGCUAUCAUCUUCGAGGCCGAUGCCAUGUCCCGGACAUGGUCUUACACUAGCUCUCACAUAUAUGUACCGAUUUUAAGUCCCAGACAUGGUCUUACACUGACAUAUCUCGUAGCCGAUGCAUGUCCCAGACAUGUUUUACACUGGCUUACGUUUCGAGGCCAAUGCAUGUCCUAGACAUGUCUUACACUAACACUCACAUACCUGUGUCGAUGCCAUGUCCCAGACAUGGUCUUACAUUGGCUCUCAUAAUGUGGCUGAUGCAUGUCCCAGACAUGUCUUACACUAGCUCACACAAAUGACCCAAGUGAUACGACAUGAAUAUCCGGUUUACUUCCUAAGGUCCCAACGGGGAUUCUACUAUCUCAAUGAUCAUUACACAUUCUCAAAUCUCGAAAUCAAGCAAUUCAUGCCAUAUCUAUUCAAUGAAAAUUUAAAUACGAAUAGUAGCAAUGUAGUUAUAUUAUUUACAUACAACUUACCUCGGAUUUCAAAAUGUAGCGACUACACGGUUUAGUCGAUUUGCUUGGCUUUCAUGUAGUCUUGGUUCGGAUUUGACAAUUCUUGAUCUAUAUUAGAAAAAUAUACCCGUUUAGUCACUAAUUACAAUUAGGCAAUUUAAAAUUCAUAUUUUCAGUAAAAUGACCAUUUUGCCUCUAGACUUUGGCAAAAUGACCAUUGUACCUCUAUGCCCGAAAAUCGAUUUUUAUCAAAUUUAUUCACUUAUUAAGCUUAGUUGAACUUUUUUUACUGUUAUAGAAACUUAAAAUUCUCUCUAUUUCACACACUUAUCACUUAUUUUGCAACUUGUGCAAAAUAGUCCCUUUAGGUGCUUUCAUGCUAACGCAUUUCACAAAAGUUGUUUAUAAGACAACCAAGACUCAUUUUCUUCCAUAAAAACUCAGCAAAAACUACAAAUCCAUUCAUGGAAAAACCCUAAACUCUUAAUCAUUUUGCAAAAUAGAACCCUAAUUUGAAAGCUUAUGCUUCAAGGAGUCUAAAAAUGUAAAAAUCCUUAAGAGAAACUAUCAAAAUCACUUACUUGCAAGUGCUUCAAGUUGCUGAAAAAUUUAAGCUUUCAAACCCCCUAUCAUGGCUGAUAUUUUUGGUGGAAAGUCAUGAGAAGAAAAGAAAUUGACAACUUUUUCUAUUUUAUUUCUUUUUGGUCAAAAUAGCUACCAAAUUUCCACCUAAUUUUGAAAAUUGUCUCCCCUAUGUCUCAUGGCCGGCUAUACUAUCAAUUAAGGGUCUAUUUUCCCAUUAAAGACCCCUAAUUUUGGUUAUCAAACAAAAUAACACCUUUAGAUAUCAAUUUAUGACUUUUACACUUUAUGCGAUUUAAUCUUUUUUUGCAAUUGGGCUCACAAACGUCAAAAUUAACUUACCAAAAUUUUCAUGUACUAAUAUAAACAUGCUAUGACUCAUGUAAGCCAUGUACAAAAUUUUCAUGUACCUAAAUCGAGCUGUUACAUGAAUACCCAUGUAAGUUAUUCCCAAAAAUCAGUAUAUAAGUAAUUGGUUACCCAAGAGAUAUCUAAAUACUACCAAACUUCAAUACUUGCAGGACAUUGCCUAAGAAUGUGAAAGCAGUCUUCUACCCCAUAGCAGCAUGAGGACAGCUGAAAUUCAUGACCACCCUUCUGCUCCUGAGAUUAACCAAUAUGGGUAGAUAAUUCCAGGAGAUGCGCCAGAUUGUAAUUGUUAUUUUCAUAUGCAGUUAUAGGCUCCAUAAUUUUCUGAAAUUUUUUUUAAGAUCAGCCUGUAAUAAAUUACUACUAGGAUCUAGAGUAGAAUCCUGUAAUAGUUUAUAGGCACUGCGAACGGAGUAUUCACCAGACUUUUCCCUUCCCUCCUCCAAACUUGACUGUCCUCGUGGCCUAUUUUUGCAAAAGGAAUCUAUAGUAUUUUUUGAGCAAUCUCUUCUUGGAAGGUAUUGUGGAUCAAUUCUAUUUUCCAUUUCAUACUCGAACAAUCAAUAAGAUUUGAAAAUAACUCCAAUUGCUCAUUAUUUGUGUUGUUUUGUCUAUUAAUUGUGUUUAUUCUGGGAACCCAACAGUCAUUCCAAAUAGAGAUUUCCUUUCCAUUCCUUACUCUCCAACAUAGCCCACUAUGAAGCAGUCCCUUUGAGGCCCAAAUGCUCUUCCAAGUGAGAGAAGGUAGACUUCCUAACUGAGCUUCAAGAAAAUUAGUCUGUGGAUAAUAUUUUGCUUUUAAAACCGUUUCUAAUAACGAAUUGGGAUAAUUAAUCAGAUGCCAUCCUUGUUUGGCUAAUAAAGCUAUAUUAAAUUAACCCAGAUUUCUAAAACCUAACCCACCAUUCUCUUUUAAACAGCAAAGUUUUUCCAAGUGUACCAAUGAAUGUCCCUACCUCUUUUUCCCUUUUGCCACCAAAAUUUCACAAUAAUAAUUUCCAUAUCAUCACAUAGAGUUUUAGGUAAUAGAAAACAAGCCAUCGUAUAAGUCGGAAUCGCUUGAAGAAUAGCUUUUAUAAAAACUUCCUUCCCCUCCUAGAUAAAUAUUUAAUGCUCCAGUUGUCAAUGUACUAUUUAAUUCGGUCCUUCAAAAUUUGAAAAGACUCCUUCUUUCUCCUACCCAGCAUGUUUGGCAAACCUAGAUAGCAUUCUGGUUCGCUUGAGCAUCAAAAUGAUAAUAAAUUAACAACUACCUGUUUAUCCGCCUCCGAUGUGUUUCUGCUGAAGAAAACAGUCGACUUCUCAAAAUUAACUUGUUGUCCCGAACAGCAUCUAUAUUCACCUAGAAUUUCUUUAGAUAAACUUGCACCCCUCAUAGAUGCCUACCAAAAAAAAAUACAAUCGUCCGUAAAUAAUAGAUGGUAUACUGCUGGUCCACUCCUAUUGGCCUUCACCCCUUUUAACCGUUCUUCCUUCAUUGAUAAUCUCAUUAAGCUUGAUAAACCCUCUCCACAUAAAAAUAGAAACGGGCUUAAUGGAUCUCCUUGUCUAAGACCUCUGGUUGGUUGAAAUUUCUCCCCAGUGAAUCCAUUUAUGACGACUGAAUAAGAAACAGAAGUAAUGCAUUUCAUAAUCCCCUCAACCCAUUUUGUAGCAAAACCCAUGCAAAUCAUUAUUCCUUUAUGAAACUCUAUUUAACCCUAUCGUAAGCUUUGCUAAACAGAAGUAAUGCAUUUCAUAAUCCCCUUAACCCAUUUUGUAGCAAAACCCAUGCGAAUCAUUAUUUCCUUUAUGAAACUCUAUUUAACCCUAUCGUAAGCUUUGCUCAUGUCCAAUUUAACUGCCAUAAAACCUUUUCUUCCAUUCCUUUUUUGUUUAAGCGUAUUUAGGAUUUCAUAUGCUAGCAACACAUUAUCUGAUAUCAAUCUACCUGGCACAAAAGUGCUUUGCACUUCAUCAAUACAUUUCCCAAUCACAUCUCGAAAUCGAUUCGCUAUAGCCUUCGCCAAAAUUUUAUAUAAGACAUUACAUAGACUGAUCGGACAAAAGUGCGUCAUAUUCAUGGGAUUAGAAUUCUUUGGGAUAAACAGAAUAUUAGUAGAAUUGAACGAACUCACCUCCAUAUACCGUUUAGAAUUUGUAGACAAAAAGAAGUGACCUCAUCUCCAAUAAUGUACCAACAUUUCUGAUAAAACAAGGCUGGUAAACCAUCCUCUCCUGGUGCCUUUAUUGCCCUUAUCUCAAAAACCACUUCUCGAAUAUCUUCACUUGUCUAAGCUGCUAUCAGGUUUAAAUUAUCCCCUUCAGACACACAAGGGUCAAUAUCAGACAACACAUAAUCAUAGUUCCUUUUUUCUCCAGCUGUAAAUAAAUUAUGAAAAUAAGACCUUGCAACACCUUCCAUUUCAUACAGCACUUCCAUGUCCCUACCUUUAUCAUUCUGCAGCUUAUGGAUCAAAUUUUUUCUUGUACGUUGAGAUGCUAUGCUGUGAAAGAAGCUGUAUUCUUAUCCCCAAAUUUCAACCAAUUAAGUCUCACCCUCUACUCCCAGUAACGUUCAUCUUUUUCAAUUUCAAGAUUUAAAUGAAUUCUCGUAUUGAUCAUCUCCACCAUACAUUCCUCAUCUCUAUCAUUGGCCAUCAGUUCAGCCAACUUAUCUGUAAGAGCCUGUCUCCUCCUCCUUCGAUUCAUUUGAAUUUUCCUUGCCCAUUGACUCAAGCCUUUCUUUAAAUUAUCCAAUUUCUGUAAUAGUCUUCCUGAAGACAACCCCCAUAAACGUUUGACUUCUUUAAAAAAAAUAUCCUUCAAAACCCACCAGGCUUCCAAUUUAAAAGUGUUACUCCUCAGUCAAUCUUUACCCAUUUUUGUAUUAAUCAAAAGUGGACAAUGAUCUGAAAAGGAAUGAACUAAGUGUUGCACCUUAACCUCUAGGAAUAAAGAAAUCCAAUCAAUAGUAGCAACUCCUCUAUCCAACAGUUCUUGUAUAUUUGUCUCUGAUAAAUUGCCUCUUUCCGACGUAAACCAUGUGCUAAAAAACCCCACAUCAACCAAUUGACAGACUUCUAAAGUUCUUUGAAACAGCUCCAUUCUUCCCUCAUCUCUAGGUAGCCCUCCCUUUUUCUCAAACACAUACAUAAUUUCAUUAAAAUCCCCACAUACAAACCAAGGGAUAUCCUCCACGUCGAUCAGACUCUUCAACACCCUCAAGUGUCAUUCUUGUCUUAUGCAUAUAGGGAGCUAUAAUAACCCAUAUAUCUCUAUUUGACUCCAACGUCAUUGUCAUCAACAAGCACAUCUAUAUGUCUUUUGGAAAACGGUCGAACUGUGAAAUUAACCACCACUUUCCAAGCCAAACAUAGACCUCUUCUAGUACCUUCAGCAUCAACCUCAAUACCAUUCUGAAAACCACAGCUUCGUCUAACUCGCUCCAUCUUCUUUCCACAAAGCUUUGUCUCCAUGAAGAAGACAAUUUGGGGAUUGUAUAACUUCAGCAUAUGUCAAAGACGUUGAACCGUCCAUCAAGCCAAUUUAAUAUUUAAAUAUGCUAUUGUUGAGAAAGAAAAAAAAACCCGUAAAGAUAAAGAUCUAAUAAGUUGAUAUACCUUUCUUGUUUGACAUUGAGUCUUGAUGAUCUUACCAAGAAGUAAGCAAAUAAAGAUCUAGUAUUAUACUUUGAAUGCAAUCAAAAUUCAUCAAUAACAGAAUCUCAAAAUAACAUAUAUGAUACUAAUACACCCCAACGUUAAGAACACUGAAUCAAAAUUAUACCGAUAUCAAAAUAUUCCAAAAACACAUGUUGUCUAAAAUUUAGAAUAUAUAUAUUCAAAUUGAAACAAUCAAAUAAACACAUAAAACAAUUAGUUUAAUGAUGACUAAGGACCGAUGCGAAGUCAAAUAUUAUAAUGAACCUUAGGCCUUAAUUAAUAAAAUUGAUCAAUAAAAUUAUGGAUCGUUAUUUACAAAUCUAUCAAUUUAUAAUAUUAAAAUUAAUCUAUCAUCAUUCAAACAUAAUCACCAAGCAAUUAUCAAAUAGCAUAUAUUAAGAAAAAUAUUUUUUUAUGAAAAAACAUCUAGGUACAUAUAAGCUUGUGAUGUGAUAAAUAAAUUUACUUAAAUUCCUUAUCUUCUACUAAAGUUUCAAUAGCACGACAAGCAAUCCAUAAAUUUUGACAUUAAAUUUCUUUUAAUCAAAAUCUAUAUUGAGAUCAAAUCUUUUACCAUCCUUAAAAUUUAGAAGUAAAUUAAAUUAAAUUAAAUCAUCAUAAUAAAUAAGUCUGAUCUUUAAUAGAUAAGUAUAAUAAAACUAAGAGAAUUAUAGUAAGAAUAAGAGAGAAAAGUAGACACAAAAGUGAAACUAUAAAUCUAUUUUUCUUAGAUUCAAUAAGCUCGUACAUUCCUUUUAUUUAUAGGGUUUCAAUCACUAUAUGUUACAAAUAUAUAAUAAAGAUAAUUAAAGUACCCUAAAAAUUCUUUAAGGGCUAAAGAGUUACAAAAGAAUGAUUUUGAAGAUUCUGAGAGUUAUAUGGACAUCCAUUUAUCAAUGGAUUUAUAACAAAAAAAAAUAAUGAUGAACAUAAAAUAUUUUUAAUACAAUCAUUAUAUAUAUUAAAUAUAGACUAAAUUAUUAAAAUAGUCACUUUUGUUUCCCUUAAAUUACGUUUUAGUCAUUUAUGUUUAAAAUGUUACGUUUUAGUCACUUAUGUUAACGUGUUCUAACAUUUUAGUCACUGAGUCGUUAAUUUCCGUUAACGGUGCAACAGUAAGCUGAUGUGGAACGUUCAAUCAUCAUUUCAAACAAAAAUUUUAGGUUAAAUUAUACAAUUGGUCCCCAUAUUUUUUCGUUUUGAACACUUUUUUUCUUUUAUGUUCUUUUAACUUUCUUCUUCUUCUUUUUUUUCUAUUCUCUUCUGCUUCUCUCUCUAUUUUACUCUCUUCACCAUCUCUUUUAACAUAAAAGAAAAAAAUUAAAUUGUUCAAAAUGAAAAAAAUAUAUAAAUUAAUUGUAUAUUUUAACCUAAAAUUUUCGUUUAAAAUGAUGAUUUAAUACUUACCGUUACACUGUUAAUGUCAACUAAUGCUUAGUAACUAAAAUGUUACAACACAACAUAAAUGAUCAAAACGUAACAUUUCAAACAUAAGUGACUAAAAUAAAAUUUGAAGAAAAUAAAAGUGACGAUUUUGGUAAAUAAAAAAAAUAAAUUUAAUGAUUAUAUCAAAUAUAGUAUUCUUUUAGGAUAUAAAUAUAGUUAAAUUUGUGUAAGCAUGUUUGAGAUGAACCAAUCGGAAUCCAGAAAAAUAAUAAUAUUCUCAUAUUUUCAGUCAUUCCUUUUAUAAACAUUAAAAACAAAGGAAAAUGGAAUAUUUGUUUAGAUUAAACCUGGGAUAAAGUAACGUUUUCAAAAGAAAAUUAUUUAAUUUAGAUUUAAAUAAUAAUAAUGUGUUGCUAAUAAAAUUUAAAGCAAAUUUAUGAAAUAAAAAUUAAAUAUUAAAAAAUACAAAUAUCCAGCACAAGAAUUGAGAACAGCCACUAAACUAGAAAGAGAAACCAAAACUAUAUGCUUACCAUUACGAAAUACCAAGUCCAAGAGGUAAUUAUUUCACUAAAUCUCAACUCCAAAUAUAUGAAUAUAUGUAUAUAUAUCACCCUGAAUCCCUCGGCUUGAUCGUUGCCUUCAAGGCAUUCUUCAUUACCACCGUGAACUCCAAUUUCCCACUAAAAUCCACCUUGCUAUUUGCUGGAUAUGCACUCCAUUCAAACUCCUGAACCAUCCUCGCUAACAUCAGGUGAACAUGCACCGUCGCCAUCCCUAAACCAGGGCAAAUCCUCCUCCCUACCCCAAACGGCAUCAUCUUCACCCCUUUCACCCCCAUUAUAUCACCAUCCUCUUUCCCUAAGUAGAAUCUAUCCGGGUCGAACUUUUCUGGGUCGGACCAUAUUUUCGGAUCGUCGCCGAUUCCCGGCAGGUAAAUCUCCAGGUUCGCAUCCAUCGGGAUGUCGUAUCCCCCCAAUGUUGCUGCCUCCUCAGUAGCUGCGUGUGUGAGCGAAAAGUACGUCGGUGGGUGCCUACGUAAGAGCUCUUUCACUACUGCUUGCAAGUACUUGAGCUUUUCGAUAUCUGUUUCGUCUACUUUUCGAUCCCCGACCGUGGAUUUGAUUUCGUCCAACAGUUUGGAUUGGAUGUCUGGGUUUUCAAUUAGCUGUGCGAUGCCCCACUCGAGUGCGGUUGCGGUGGUAUCGGUGCCGCCGUUGAGGAACUCAGAGCAGAGUGUGACCAGCUCGGAAUUGGACGGUGCUGAUUUUCUUCCUUCAACUUUGAGAUCAAAAAGGGUGUCGAGGUAUGAAAACGACAUGGCGGAUCGAUCCGAUCCUGGGUUUAAAAGAGCUUCUCGACGCUUUUCGAUGAACGGGACGAUGUAAUCUAUUUGAUGUUUACGAACUUGGAGCGCUUGCUUGCGUUGCUUGGAGAAAAAAGGGCUUAAAAUGGGGAGAUAAUCGUCGAUUCUUGGAUCAAGUGUGAUCAAAACAGUUUUCAUUACUUCAUCCAUUUUCUCCACUGUUUCUUCAUCCAUUUCAACCCCAAAACACAUGGCUAAGAGUAUACAAAAAACGGCGAAACGAGCGUUUUUCAGCACCGAGACAACACCGUCAUUGGCGGCGGCUUCGGCUUUGAGACGGUCGAUGAGUUUAUCCAUUGCAUGCUCUCUAGCAGUACGAAACUCUUUAAGCCUAGUCGAACUCAACAUGUUUUGAACCAUGUUUCGCCUCAGAGACCUCCACACAGGACCGUAAACGGCGGCGUUUACGGUGAACUUGUUGCAGCUAAAGAUAUUCCGAGUGGGGUUUUCCCUCGGCCGGCUAGCGAAAACAACACCUUUUUCGAUAAACGCUUCAUGGCAGAGUUUGGCGUCGCUAAGUAUAAUCAUGGUUCGAGUCCCCAUCUUGAGAGUGAAAAUGGGUCCAUAUUGAUGACGAAGAUCAUCAACGUAUUCAAAGAAUGGUUUCCCAGAGCGAGCAACCUGGAAAAGAUUACCAACAACAGGCCAACCAGGAGGCCCUGGAGGGAGAUUGAAGCGUCGUUUGGCUUUUGAUUUGCAUGAAAAAAACAAAAUCAAGCAUGAAAUGAAGAAAGCGAGGACAUGGUAAAAUGAAACAGCCAUAUCUGUGAUAGAAAUAAUUUUUAGCAGAUAGAUGAUUAUUUAGGGAAGUGGCGGUAUAAAAAUAAGUAGUGCAUGAAAUUACAGGUGGGCAGUGGGCUGCCAUUAAAGCUGAUAAGGGAAGGUUUCUACUUUUUACUGCUGGGUGUUAAAUGCCGAAAAACAAACCCAUGGGCUACGAAGAAACCAGCUAAAAAGCAAAAGGAGUAUAGAAAAAGGGUAAGGGUAUCUGUGAAAACGAAUUAAUUGCAUGCAACUACUCAGUCUCAUGGAAUCUAAUAUGAAGAUUGGAAAUGCAGAGGCGUUGGAUGUCUACACCUGUUUGACUUCAUUUAUGUCUACUCCUUGGUACUUAAACCGUGAGCCCACGGGUUAUUUUUGUUUUUCCCUUUGAACUAUCACUCUCAGCUGUUUCAAUGGUGCAGUAUUCAACCAGCUCUUUAAAACCUCACCUUCCUAGAGCCAGUUUUACAAUAUUCUAUCAUUUAAUGAGCCAAUUCCUAAAAAGAGUGAAUAUGUUGAAAUUUAAAUGAAUAUAAAUGAGUUUAUUUAAGAAUAUAAAUAAACUAACAAAAUUAAACAAGUUUUAAAAUCUUAUUUAAGCCAAUAUCUUUUAAAAUUGAUUUGGAUUUUGAGCGGCUUUGUUGGUUAUAUGAGAUAAUAGGGCAUCCCGUAACUUCUUAAAUCAGACUUAAACGUUAUGAUCGAAUCUUGAAAGUUAUAUUAGCCAACGAAAUGACUAAGUAAAAGCGUCUGGUUUGAAUAUCACUAUUUUAAUCUAUAUUCAGAAAACCUAGCACGGUUCCAUUAGGUUUGUAAAAAAAACAUUGGUUUAUUAGGUCAUUUAUAAUUUAAGUUCAAUUUAUUAUAAGGUCGUGCCGUUAGAAAAAAACUUAGUUGAUUGUAUCAACAAACCACUUAAAAUCUUGUUUUACCGUUACACAACGGAAAAAGUGUUGCAUUUGAUUUUUGUAUAAAAAUCCGUGUUUUAAAUCGUAUUUGGCCGGUUAUUAAAUUUGUUCUGUUUUCAUGCAAAUAUCUCAUGCAUGCAAAAUCCCAAAUAAAAACACUCAUACCACAAUUCAUGCUUAAUAAAAUUUGCAGUCCCAAAAUAAAUGAAGUAAAAUUUAAUAAUAUUUAAUUAUGAGAAAAUCUGAGAUGAGUCCUCCGUAUGUUGAGUCGAGCCUAAUUCUGAGGGUUAUUUGUAAAGAGUAAACUAAGGGGUGAGCUUAAAAAGCUCAGUGUGAGUCCAAGCAAAAAUAAGCAAACAUUCAGUCAAUGAAACAUUCAAUUAUUAUAAUAAAUCAUACAAUUUAUCAUGACGUAUCAAACUUAUGUAUAUGGCAUGCUCAAUGAUACAAUGCAAUAAUACUACUCAUCCAUCCGCUACAUACCACGAGUUCCUAAAACCCAUCAUCCAAAGACCAAAACAAAAAGAGUUGAAGUUCGAUAUGAUUAAACCACCAAUAACAGUAUGCAGUUAAAACUGCCAAUAAUAUGUAGACAAGCUAUCACUAAGUUGCAAUAAGUCACCAGUACUCCACAGUACUCUAGGCGCAGAUAUUCUGCUAAACAAUAAUUUUGCGGAUAAAUUGCCAGUACUCUACAGAACUUUUCUAUCACCCAAUCAAUACUCAAGCCCAUGCAAUGCCAUAUGACCAAUCAAUAACAUAGCAUAUCAUGCUGAUCAAUGACGGUAAUAGUAAUAAUGUAACAGCACGAUUUAUGGCCUAGUCGAAAUAGUGGUCUCAGGACCACAAAUUCGGAUUCGACUAAAGUAUUUUAUCAUUAUUUUGGAGUCAUUUCAUGUUUGUAUUAGUGAACAAAAAACUUGGUGAGUAAAUUUUGACAUUUGUGCGUCCAAUUGCGAAAAAAGACUAAAUAGCAUAAAAUACAAAAGUCCUGAAUUGAUAGCUAAAUGUGUCAAAUAGCUAGAGAACCUAAAUUGAGGGUCUUUAAAAUACAAUUAGACCCUAUAGAGAUAGCUUUGCCGGCCAUAGGAGACAAAUUGAUGAGAAAGUCAAUAUUAGGUGAGUUUUGGUCACCAAUUUUAACUAGUUUUAAUAUUUAAAAUAAAACAAAGGCCACAUCCUCUUUAUUUUUCUUCUUCACCGAUUUUUACCAGCCAUAUGAGGGCUUUGAAGCUUGAAAUUUUUAGCAACUUAUCAUCUCUAGAAGUACAUGAUUUUCAUACCCUUUGUUGAAGAUUUUUACAUUUUUGGACCCCUUGAAGCACGAGUUUUCAAAUGAGGGUACUAUUUUGCAAAAUGGAUAAAAGUUUAGGUUUUGCCAUGAGAGCAUCUAGGGUGUUUUCUAAAAUUUUAUGGAAGAAUAUGAAGUUUAGUGGUGUGAUAAACAACUUUUGUGAAAGGAUUUUCAUGAAGAUACCUAAAAAGGACUAGUUUGAUAAGUUGCAAAGUAGAUGAUAAAUGUGUAAUAUAGUGGGAAUUUGGAGUUUCUAUAAGAGUAAAAAGGGUUUGGAUAGGCUUAAGAUGCGAAUAAAUUCGAUAAAAAUUGAUUUUCGAGUCUAGGGGUAAAAUGGUCAUUUUGUCAAGGUCUAGGGGCAAAAUGGUCAUUUUACCAAAGAAGUGAAUUUUCGAUUGCCUAAUUUUAUUGAGUGAUUAAAUAAGUGUAUUUUUUUAUUAUAGAUCAAGAAAUACCGAAUCCGAACCUAGACCGAGGGAAGGCCAAGCAAAUCAACUAAAUCGACUAGUCACCACUUUUUGUAAUCCGGG
This 13560-nucleotide long non-coding RNA is filed under the name Gossypium barbadense (sea-island cotton). Its description in RNAcentral is "long non-coding RNA (GBAR_LNC009616)". The record is from RNAcentral. Lineage: Eukaryota; Viridiplantae; Streptophyta; Magnoliopsida; Malvales; Malvaceae.